Long non-coding RNA from Mus musculus (house mouse), 4577 nucleotides. RefSeq annotates it as predicted gene, 31409. The transcript has 5 exons. Lineage: Eukaryota; Metazoa; Chordata; Mammalia; Rodentia; Muridae. The record is from RefSeq and is a predicted model, not a curated record.
UUCCAGGAUGAAGGGUUCAGUUUCAUUCUGAUGCCUGCCAAAGGUUCACGAUGUCCUUGAGCAGUCCAAUGUUGAAGCCUCUCCGGAUCAGCUGUGAUGACACUGCCGUCAGUCUGUCCACAGUCCUCAGAGAAACCAAGUGGAAGUAGCAACUGAAGAACAAUCUCUAUGAGAGUGACCUGUGGCUAUGACUGUCAGACGUUAAAAUUUACUGACUGGUAAUGGAGGACUCAACCAUCUGUGGGAUGUGCCACUCCCAGGUGUAUUUUACAUGCAUGUGUGUCUAUGUAGCACUUGCAUUCCUGAUUUGCCUGGAGACCAGAAAAGGAUAACUGAAUAUAAGCCUGAGACCUUGCCAGUAAGCAUCAUUCCUCUGUGCUCUUUGAUUUAGCUCCUACCUCUAAAUUCAUGCCUUGAAUCCCUGCACUGGCAUCCCUCAUAGAUGGAAUGUUAUACACAUUAUCUUCUCAGUCAUGCUCUCUGACAGAAAAAUUACAGGAGAGAAGAGCUGAAGAGAUGGCUCAGCAGUUAAGAGCACUGACUUCUAGAACUUCCAGAGGUCCUGAGUUCAAUUCCCAGGAACCCCAUGGUGGCUCAAAACCAUCUGUAAUGGGAUCUGAUGCCCUCUUCUGGUGUCUGAAGACAACUCCAGUGUACUCAUAUAAAUGAAAUAAAUUAAUAAAUCUUUCUUAAAAAGAAAAAAAAAAAAGGCAUGCAAAAGAAGCAGAGGAGUGGUGCUUGUGUGCCCAGGCUUUAAAAACAAAAAAAAAAAAAAAACAAAAAAAAAAAAAAAAGAAUGAAUUCAAAUACAAAAAAGGGGACAGUAACAGGGCAGUGGAGAAAAAGAAAGAACAAAUGGAUGAAUUAAAAGAAAGAAGAGUAUUAGCAGUAGUGAAUCAAACACAAAUGCCUUGAUCGAGCCAGGAUUAAGGAGUGGGGUUGUAGGUGAAUGGCAGUGUGAUUGGCUACAUACGUGAGCCAGUCAGUUUGAUACUCUGUACUGAAGCAAAGAAAGAAAAUAAUAGAGACAGAAUUACAAUAAAGUCUUGGUUACACAUGAAUAACUAGACCGUGAAUAGUACAUUGGAACACACAUUUAUUCCACAAAAUAUGACAUCUUUAUUCAACUGACUUUGGAAAGUUGUAAAAAGUGAUAUUUGAUAGUCAUUCAGAAAAUAUAGUUAUUUAAGUAUUUUGAAAGAGGAAUUUUAUUUUGAAAUGUAUGCAAUCAGGGGGAAAGAAAAAUUUAAAUGGCCAAUGGCAUUUAUUUGUGAAACUUUACUGUAUGGGUAUUAUUUAAAAUAAGAUUCUAGGAAGUGAAUGAAGAAGAUUUGGGAAAUGCAGGUGUGAGCUAAGCUGUUAAUGACUAAAUAUUGUUAUGGCAUGAAACUUUGGUAUGGGUUUUAUUUCUAUUUAAAUUCCGAUUCUGCUUCUUUAUGUGCAUAAGUAGGAUAAAAUUGAUAUUAUUUAAUUAGUGGGGAAGUAGGGAUGAGAUAUGCAAGAACAGAAAAAAAAUGUCAGGAGACAUUCCAGAACCUUAGGCACUAAAUAUGGUAGGAGAGAAUGGAGUCACUAUCUACCAUUGCCUUCCAGUGUGGCAUAGCAUACAUUCAUAUACCCUAGGAGAAGGUAAAUCUUCUAAGAGGUUCAGACAUUUUUUUGACAUAACCUGGUGUAACUCUUCAUAAAUGUUAUAAUGAAAAAUAUUUUUCUGGGAGAAUGUAGUAAAUUAAUAUUUGUCUUAAUUAAGCCUGGCUUCUACCCUAUUGUAAUUGAGUCCAGGCAUUCCGUGUUUGUGAAAUUGCUGAGCAGACACGGGGAGUCAUGCUUGGAGAGGAAUCUUGAGUAGGUUUCAGAAGAAGAGAAGAAGAGUUCCUCAUUAGCUACUGAGAUCUGGGAAAGAAGACAGAGAGCAAAUAAAAAUGUGCAAUGUGUGGAACUUGGGGGUUGAACAUCACCUCACUCCUUUCAAACUUCAGACUAUGGUGUGGAAGUAAUUGGCAGGAAAUAUUUUUCCCACUUUCACUGUGAUUUCUGAGUAGACAAAUUCACAGUGUGAAGUUUGUGUUGAUAUGGCUUCACUUCGGCACACACACCCAGACUCAUGAAAGAAUGGCAGUGUGACAGUUUUGAGAGAGAGAGAGAAGAGAGAGAGAGAGAGAGAGAGAGAGAGAGAGAGAGAGAGAGAGAGAGAGAGAGAGAGAGAGAGAGAGAACACUGCUCUACAUGGUGGAUAGAAAUGAAGCUCUUACUCUUGUGUCUUGGUCCCAAAAUAAGAGUUGAUCUCAAAGCCAAAAGACCCACUGAGGGUUUUCCUGGUACGAGUGUUUGUGGUACAGAAGCUGCUACAAAAACACCCUAGUCUGAUACUGCAUGCAUAUUUUAAAACACAUAUAAAGAAUAACUGUGUCUUAAAGUGUUCAGGAAACAAAGAAUAAAUGCACAUAAGCGUUGAAAUAGACGAUAAGAACCCUGAAUAUAAAACCACUACUCUAUUGCCAUGACCUAGGACAAUCCAAGGGCACAGAGGACAAUGGCCACCGUGUUUCCUCCAGCUUCUGCCAGGGCAUAAUGUCACUUAUGUGAGGGACAUUCUGUAAAACACAACACUUUCCAGGAAAAAAAAAGUAGCAGAGUGUGAGACACUGCUAAUUAGCCAGUUAAAAUAUCCACCAGGAACCCUGCCCCUGUUUGGCUGGGUUGUGGCCUGUGAGGAAGAUUAGAUUUGUUGGAUGAGUGAGAACCUUCAAUUACUGUGUACAUCAGAGUUAGCCUAAGUGUGAAUUUGCAGCCCUACCAUAAUACUUAGCCUUAACCAUCAUUCUGUCCUUUUCAGUUCAUUGGCUGUCCAUAUGCAAUUAGUCCACAUUUACAGAUACUUGUUUAUUAGGCUAUGGCUACUGCCAUUAAUGAAAUAUUCUAAAAGGAAAAGUAUUUGGAACCUGAGCAAAAAAACACAUGCUCUGUGGCUGGGGCUGUCACCGCCACCAACUGACUCCGUAACCUCAGGCAAGUCAUUUAAUUUCUCUGGGCAUUAAUUUUCUCUGAAAAAAAUGAGGAGACCAAUGUAAAUCAUUGCUAAGGUCAAUUUUGAUUUUGAUGUCUGUCAUGUGAGUGCUAAAACGAGGCCUGCUGAGAUGAUGGUGGUUAGAUUUGCAUUAAUCAAGAAACAAUGAUAAUGAGUAUAGAACCAUUUAGUGAACAGAGGCCAUUUGCCUGACACCAAGUAAGUCAUUUCAUAGACACUAUUUCUAGGCAUCUAAAUAAACGCAAGAGGAUAGAGUUUCACAGUCUGCUAUUUUUUCUCUGUGCUACACAGCUGGUGAAUGUGGUAUCCAGGUUCAUAGGCCAUAAUUUCUUUGGAGUUUAUAUGCCAGAUAUGUAUGGUACUUAUACAUGGAGAUUAUUUUGUCUGAAGAUUAAUAUGUUCUAGGAAUUAUUAAAAUCUUUCAUGUCCACAGUCACUAAGAAGCUCUUUAUAGUAUCAAGGCAAAUCAAACUCCCCUCCAACGUCCUUUAGAUCUCAUUUAGAUUGUGUAGUAAGAAUGUAUUUUCAGAUUUCUGUGUUUUUGAGCUUAUGCAUGUGCACACACACACACGCACGCAUGCACACACUCACACACACACACACACACACACACACGUGUGCGCGCGCACGCACACACACCUGGGAAUUCAUGGGAAAGGGUUUGACACCAUCAAGGAUGGAACGUGGGAAAAAAGAAGUCCAGUUCAUAUCUCACUCUGAGGGCCCUACCAGUACAAAGUCACCACAUCUCAGUCCUGGCUCCUGACAGCAUAGAGCAUGUAGUUCCUCAACUCAAUAGGAUGACUUUAACAACAUCUGUUCUCAACUGAAAUCUGCCUCUUAGGAAGUCUCUGAAUAUCACCCAGUACUUCCUGGGAACAAAACUGGGGUCAGAACAAAGGAGAAAAAGCAGUGGUAUACCCUCAUAGUAGAAUGUGGAUGUCUGAAGAGAUGAACCAAGGCCACUGGGCAUGUACUAGCUAAUAGAAUAGUCUCAUGCUAAACCUGGAUGAGGUGAGUCCUCAUAGUAAAUGCAAAGUUCUCCAAAACAACCUAUGGGUUCUUUCACCUAGCACCCAUUCGGUCUGGUUCACUAUGGCUCUGGAUUAUUUCCACAGAUGUUCCUCUUCUUGUGCAACAGAUAGUCUCUGUCUCCCUGUGUUGUCACAUAGAUUUGUGAUAUGCUCACACAUACCUGGCAUCCUUGUGGGUGUAGUUUGUUUUUUUCUUUCUUGAAAUAAAGUUAUCAAUUAGUUUGGAUUACAGGAACCCAAACUUCCCUUAAAGUUCUUCAUAUCAAAUAUAAUAGCAUUCUGAAGAAAUGAGUGUUGGGGCUUUGACAAAGGAAUUGGAAGGACACAUUACUCUGAAGCUAAGUUGAUGUUAGGUGUGACAAUUAAGUAAAUACUUCUCUCCAACUAUCACUCUGUAAUGAACAUGAAAGUGCAUAUCUUUAUUCAUCAAUAUUCAAUGCCAAGAGCAUCAGUGCAUGAAACUUGUUGAGUACUACACUUGAUUGAAUGAAAAAUAAAAUCAAUACCAUGUUGAA